GACGAACGCUGGCGGCGUGCUUAACACAUGCAAGUCGAACGGUGAAGCUCCAGCUUGCUGGAGUGGAUCAGUGGCGAACGGGUGAGUAACACGUGAGCAACCUGCCCCUGACUCUGGAAUAAGCGCUGGAAACGGCGUCUAAUACUGGAUACGAGAAGGGUCCGCAUGGGCACUUUCUGGAAAGUUUUUCGGUUGGGGAUGGGCUCGCGGCCUAUCAGCUUGUUGGUGAGGUAAUGGCUCACCAAGGCGACGACGGGUAGCCGGCCUGAGAGGGCGACCGGUGCCAGUGGAAUUGGGAGACGGGCCCGACGAAUACGGGAGGAAGGAGUGGGGCAUAUGGGCAGAGGGGAGGAAGAAGUAUAGAGCCAUGGCGCGUGUGAGAAGACGGGCUUGGGAGAGGAAAGAACAUUAAGUGGGGAAGAAGGACAGUAAGGUAAUACCUUGAUGUUGUGACGGGAACAACAGAAUAAGCAACGGCUGAAUUCGUG
RNAcentral lists this ribosomal RNA (488 nucleotides) under uncultured bacterium. RNAcentral describes it as "partial 16S ribosomal RNA". It matches the Rfam family "Bacterial small subunit ribosomal RNA", at positions 28 to 507 of the family's 1533-position model. The record is from RNAcentral.